Cyanistes caeruleus (blue tit) is the source of this 4728-nucleotide non-coding RNA. The record is from RefSeq and is a predicted model, not a curated record. NCBI's taxonomy places the organism in Eukaryota, Metazoa, Chordata, Aves, Passeriformes, Paridae.
AUUCAGCACCCAUAUCCUCGCACCCGGCGCUGCAGAAAGAACGCAAUUUGAUUUUUUUCUGUUUUGUAUCAUGGCAUUCACUACUAUUGUCUCUCUUUCUUCCUGUUCACCUCACAAAAACGAUUACGGCCUCUCUCAAGGACUCAGGCAUUUAAGCUGAGAGCUGCAUCAACUCCUACAAAGCAAUGAAGCUGCCGCCAACCUCCCAGUCAGAGUCAAGGCUCACACCAAGGCUCUCCCAAAAAUUCUCACUGCCACAGCUGAAGGCAUUGCCGUUCCCGGCUGUCUCUCCCACCUCCUCAUCAGGCAUGACUGCCCCUUAAAGCAGAGUUGAUAAAAAAAACCCAACUAUUUCCAGCCCUUACAAUUCACAGUUUUCAUGCACUAGUUUCUGAAGGUGAUGCUGAGAUUGUUUUUCAGACUGUGAGCUGUGCCAGUUGGGGCUGGUCCCUUAUUACACUCUCCUGUGCCAGGUGUGAGGAGGAAUAAAUAGGCGAUGGCACCUCAAACCACUGCAUCAAGCUCUUCUAGGGCUCAAACCUGCAGCAGGGACCAAGAGCGGGCAUUUGGAAAACAGUGCAAUCAAUGAAAACUAUUGGGUUUUCUCCUGGCUUCUGGCACUUACUGGAGCAAGUUUCUCCGGAGACAGGUGUGUAACACCAUUAGGUCCAAGCCUGAAAAAUUUAGGGGAAAGUUACAAGGUCAUUUGCUAGGUUGAUUUAGCAGCGACAUCAAUUCCUGCUGCAUGUGCCUGUGUCCCAUCCCCUUGCUUUAGCACCAGUAACUUCCACCUAUUCAAAGUGUCAGAUUCUCCUUACUGUUUCUGAAGCUGGAUGGAAACUGUGGUGCUGUGAUUCAAACAGGGGUGCAUGGAUGUGUCUUGUCUUAGCCCAGCCCCAUCAGGUGCCAUUGACCUGCACUGAGUGACUUCUAACCAUGGGUGUAUUGCACCCAUCGUGCAGGUGUGCUGUAGGGUUAUGACUCACCGUGACUCAACAUGAACUCAUAAAGCCACAUCAGCCCAGGUCUUCAUGUGAUUUAAAGAUUUCAAGUGGUAGAGGAUCUACAAUGUUCCUUAUUCCUGUGGACUUUGCAACACCACAGAAAAUAUUGUUCUUUGUUAUAGGAGCUGAAUAUUUGAGAGAGAGCAACAUGAAGACUAAAUACUCUCACAUAUUCCUGGUGUCAAAAAUUCUUGUGUGGCAAGGAAACAGCAGUACAUCUCCUGAUCUCCAGACAGCAUGGGAACAGCUGAAUCAUCCAGUCCUUCUGUCCUCUUGUUUGUCACAUACAGAAACGCCUUAUUGCUUCCUGCAUAUGAAGAAGUGUAUUUUUUAAGGUAAGAUCUGUUAUACAAACUGCCUUUCAGGAAUUCUUUUCUGGCUUCAAGAUACAAUGCGAGCACUGAAAUCCAAAUGAGGUUCAAAUUCACAUGUCAUCAAAUUUUAUUAAUUUCACUGGCUCUGCAGCCACAAGUCAUUUGAUUUCAUGCUGUGUGAAACUGCAAGAGAGAACAAUGAUCAGACUCCUAGCAUAGCUUCCCAUGGAGCAUUGGCAGUGGUCUCACAUAUUGACCUAAUUGCCUAGGAGGAUUUCUGUCAUGGUGAAGAAGGUUAAGUGGUGUGUUGAUUUCAGAGAGGAGACAAAUAUCUGCUGGGCAAGUACUAUGAGAAUAUCAAUUUAAUUUUCACUUUUAACUAUGCCACAUGGUUUGAUUACAAACGGCACAAUUUUCUCCUGCAUCUAGCACCUAAGUUUUAUGAUUUUUUCAUCUGCAAAGUGAAUUGCAAUUGUGUAUACCAAGCUUCUGGGAUACAUCUUAUCUUUCCUUAUUUUUCCUUGAAGAAAUUAUGUCCAAGGAUCUCUGACAUGUUGGAGAAGCUUAGCUUUAAAAAUAUAGUUAAGAAAAAUAUAUUACCAUCCUUUUCUUUGAUUUAUAGUUAUCCUAUGUGAUUGUGUUACAUGUAUAUGAAUAAUAUUUGCCUCUGAAGAUAAUGUAAUGUCAUAUUUUGAAGCUGAUAUUAUUUGUUCUCUGUCACAAAAAUCACACAGAUGGAUCCCACUUCCUUUAGGUCUACUGAAAGAAGCAAAAAAAGCUGUCUUGCACACAGGCAAGUCUGUUCUCUGUGAACAGUUACAGAAACUUCCCAAUGCACUUCCUCUGAAUCCAAGUCUUCCUUGAGUAAGUUUACACCAACUUGUUCUUACAGUUUCCUGCCUCCUUUUUUCACAAUGCAUCAUUCAAAAAAGCAAGGGUUUGCCACUUGGAGUGCAGCAUCACUAUGUAGUGUGUUUGGAAACAGCAUAUUACUCCAUUGUAAAGAGUUAAUUUCCACUUUGAUUUGAAUGGAAUCUUGUAAAACAAUAUUAGAUGACAUUAAAGUUGGCUUCUGCUGAUGUACAAAUUUGGCAAAAAUUAUGAGGCUGAGGAGGGGGCUGAUGAUUCCAGAAUUUGUGUAUCUAUUUCUGCUCUAAAAUCCAGAAAUAACUGUAAUUACAGUGUUAACAGGAAACAGAAAUUGGAGUUUUAUUUUUUUCUUCAAACAAUCAGUUGUUUCACAGACCAAGCAAGGUAAGUCAGUGUUAACUAAUUACUGUUACCUAGUUAACAGUGUUAACAAACAACUCACAAAGGUUCAGUAUUAACCACUUCUCAUAUUAGCAAAUAGUCAUCAAUAAAGACUUGGUAUGUUGAUUAACUGGUUACUGCAGAUCAAAAUGUUUCCAUCACAGAGGCAAGCAGAAGGCUUGAGACUAGUAUCUCAUACCAGAAGAAAUGAAGGCAUUGUUUUGUUUACUCACUUUCUAAGGAGUACAUAUCCUUUAUUUCAUUACUGGGAAAUAGAGCUUGUAUGUGUUCCCAAGCUAAAACUGACUGCACAGGCUAUUUUUCUCACAGGUCAGAUGUGAGGAAACAGAACCAUUUCGCUUCCUUCAUAAUCUCUAUAUAAAGAGAAGAGGAAAAUGGAGCCAGACCUAUUGUUCUUACAGUUUCCUGCAUCCUUUUCCACUAUGCCUCAUUCAGAGAAAAAAUGGUUUGCCACUUUGAGUGCAUCAUUUAGAUUUAGUGUAUUUGUGUAUCUAAUAAUAUAUAUAUAUGCCUUUUCCAGUAUAUUGACAAUAUCAGAAAAACCCUUAUUGAUAAAAAGGUUUUAUAUGAAAAGUAGCUUCUGAGUAUGUGGGAGGGGGUUCAUAUAAAAUAUUGUAGCUCCGCAUUAAAACUGUUCUCUUUCUUUCAAGUUAUUAAGAUUAAACUACACAAAUAAAUAAUCUGACCAAAAAAAUCUCAAUAAACUAUUUUUGGGUUUCCUUUUCUCAGCUGUUUUUCCUAGGUCUUCAGUCAGUUGAGUGGCUAGAGUACUAUGAUCAAAUAUAAACAAGAGAAAUGUUUGAGUUAUAGAAUCACAGAAUCAUUUAGGUUGAAAAAGACCUCUAAGUUCAUCAAGUCCAUCAUUACAAAACACAUUUGGUGCACUCUUGGCCGCUGUAGUCCCAGGCUUUUUGCCAGGACUGCAACAACAUUUAUUGAAAUGGACUGGCAAGUGGGACAAGAAAUUUCUGUUCUCAGUCAUCAGUGAGCUGUAGGUGGAGAUGUGGAAGCAAGCAUGAGCCCACUGUGUGCUCCUGGCAAGCCCUGCUUUGCUCUCCAGUCCUUAGCCAGGUAGCAGCAGUGCUUAGGUUCUUACAAAGAAUCAGCAUUGCCUUCUAUCACAAUUGGGUUUUGGACUACUGGGGAGUACAGAAGAGAUUAGAAUUCAGGACACAGCCCUUCAGUCAGAGAGGGGACUGUACAUUCUAAUGGUUUCCUGAAUAAAUUAUUUUUUAUAAGAGUCAAAUUGCUCUUAGCCUGAAAGAAAAGGCACAUGGGAAGAGUAAUGUUGCAAAGUGCUGUUUUUCUGCACCUUUCAUUUCAUAUUCCAGUAUAAGAGAGAUAUGUGCUUCAUGCACUCAAGAGUAUUCUCUCUCCUCUGUCAAAGACACAAAUCCUGGAAAAUUACUUUGGCAGAAAGCACACACAAGUUGACAGUUCCAUGAGAAAAUGUGUGGAUAGCAAAAGAUGCAAUCAUCUCUCUGUAUUUAUGCACAUAUACCCAAUCCAUCCUGCCAGUCUAUAACACACUCAUUUUAUGAUUAAUUUAAAGAACUGUAAAUCGGAACCUUUUUUUUCCCUAAAGGAACAGGGAGAAAUACAGAACUUGGCAAUGAUUCCACUUAAAUUCAGAAAGUUGUAGCACUAUGUGAGCUUAGCCCAAAUUCUACCAAAUAUAGACCCACUAAAAUGACUGGAACAGAACAUGAUGUUUCAAAAAUAAAGAAAUUAUAUAUUUAUUUAGAACAUUUAAAUGCGUGUUAAUUAAGUGUAUUUCCACUCUGCUCAAAUUAUGGGCUUAGUUCAAAUAACUUCUAUUGAUUUUACAUUACAGGACUGUCAUUAGCAUUUGCCAACUGAGUCAAGUUCCAAUGGUAAUAGCUUUUCUUCAGGAAUUAUUUAUACACUGACAGGAAAACUACAUCCUUCUUCUCUAUCAUCUUGAGACUCUCAAUGAAAAAAGAAGAAGUUUCAGUUCUGUGUAUAUUUUAUAUAUCUUACUGUUAAAUUAAAAAAAUGGGGCCUGUGAAUGGUUUCUCUGAAUAAAAAUGGUAAAACAAUGAAAAUGCUACUGUAUUUUGAAAUCAAGUUCUGCUGUCAAAUAUUCUGACCUAAGUACAGAGUAAUGCUCCUCAAAG